This 465-nucleotide ribosomal RNA is filed under the name uncultured bacterium. RNAcentral's name for it is "partial 16S ribosomal RNA". It matches the Rfam family "Bacterial small subunit ribosomal RNA", at positions 28 to 507 of the family's 1533-position model. The record is from RNAcentral.
GACGAACGCUGGCGGCGUGCUUAACACAUGCAAGUCGAACGGAAAGGCCCUGCCUGCUGAGUACUCGAGUGGCGAACGGGUGAGUAACACGUGGGUGCUCUGCCCUGCACUUCGGGAUAAGCUUGGGAAACUGGGUCUAAUACCGGAUAGGACAGCACUUUAGUGUGUGUGGUGGAAGGUUUUUUCGGUGUAGGAUGAGCUCGCGGCCUAUCGGCGUGUUGGUGGGGUAAUGGCCUACCAAGGCGGCGACGGGUAGCCGGCCUGAGAGGGUGUACGGCCACAUUGGGACUGAGAGACGGCCCAGACGCCUACGGGAGGCAGCAGUGGGGAAUAUUGCACAAUGGGCGCAAGCCUGAUGCAGCGACGCCGCGUGGGGGAUGAAGGCCUUCUGGUUGUAAACUCCUUUCGCUAGGGACGAAGCUUUUUGUGACGGUACCUAGAUAAGAAGCACCGGCUAACUACGUG